This 478-nucleotide ribosomal RNA is filed under the name uncultured bacterium. Its description in RNAcentral is "partial 16S ribosomal RNA". It matches the Rfam family "Bacterial small subunit ribosomal RNA", at positions 28 to 523 of the family's 1533-position model. The record is from RNAcentral.
GACGAACGCUGGCGGCGUGCUUAACACAUGCAAGUCGAGCGGUAAGGCCCUUCGGGGUACACGAGCGGCGAACGGGUGAGUAACACGUGGGUGAUCUGCCUCGUACUUCGGGAUAAGCCUGGGAAACUGGGUCUAAUACCGGAUAUGACCACGGACUGCAUGGUUUGUGGUGGAAAGAUUUAUCGGUGCGAGAUGGGCCCGCGGCCUAUCAGCUUGUUGGUGGGGUAAUGGCCUACCAAGGCGACGACGGGUAGCCGACCUGAGAGGGUGACCGGCCACACUGGGACUGAGACACGGCCCAGACUCCUACGGGAGGCAGCAGUGGGGAAUAUUGCACAAUGGGCGGAAGCCUGAUGCAGCGACGCCGCGUGAGGGAUGACGGCCUUCGGGUUGUAAACCUCUUUCGACAGGGACGAAGCGCAAGUGACGGUACCUGUAGAAGAAGCACCGGCCAACUACGUGCCAGCCGCCGCCGUAA